This 491-nucleotide ribosomal RNA is filed under the name uncultured bacterium. Its description in RNAcentral is "bacterial SSU rRNA". It matches the Rfam family "Bacterial small subunit ribosomal RNA", at positions 588 to 1084 of the family's 1533-position model. The record is from RNAcentral.
UCAGUUGUGAAAGUUUGCGGCUCAACCGUAAAAUUGCAGUUGAUACUGGCUGUCUUGAGUACAGUAGAGGUGGGCGGAAUUCGUGGUGUAGCGGUGAAAUGCUUAGAUAUCACGAAGAACUCCGAUUGCGAAGGCAGCUCACUGGACUGCAACUGACACUGAUGCUCGAAAGUGUGGGUAUCAAACAGGAUUAGAUACCCUGGUAGUCCACACAGUAAACGAUGAAUACUCGCUGUUUGCGAUAUACAGUAAGCGGCCAAGCGAAAGCAUUAAGUAUUCCACCUGGGGAGUACGCCGGCAACGGUGAAACUCAAAGGAAUUGACGGGGGCCCGCACAAGCGGAGGAACAUGUGGUUUAAUUCGAUGAUACGCGAGGAACCUUACCCGGGCUUAAAUUGCAUUUGAAUAUAUUGGAAACAGUAUAGCCGUAAGGCAAAUGUGAAGGUGCUGCAUGGUUGUCGUCAGCUCGUGCCGUGAGGUGUCGGCUUAAG